RNAcentral lists this ribosomal RNA (531 nucleotides) under uncultured bacterium. RNAcentral describes it as "bacterial SSU rRNA". It matches the Rfam family "Bacterial small subunit ribosomal RNA", at positions 8 to 526 of the family's 1533-position model. The record is from RNAcentral.
AGAGUUUGAUCAUGGCUCAGAUUGAACGCUGGCGGCAGGCCUAACACAUGCAAGUCGAGCGGCAGCGGGAAAGUAGCUUGCUACUUUUGCCGGCGAGCGGCGGACGGGUGAGUAAUGCCUGGGAAAUUGCCCAGUCGAGGGGGAUAACAGUUGGAAACAGGUGCUAAUACCGCAUAAUGUCGCAAGACCAAAGAGGGGGACCUUCGGGCCACAUGCCAUUUGAUGAACCCAUAUGGGAUUAGCUAGUAGGUGGGGUAAUGGCUCACCUAGGCGACGAUCUCUAGCUGGUCUGAGAGGAUGAUCAGCCACACUGGAACUGAGACACGGUCCAGACUCCUACGGGAGGCAGCAGUGGGGAAUAUUGCACAAUGGGGGAAACCCUGAUGCAGCCAUGCCGCGUGUGUGAAGAAGGCCUUCGGGUUGUAAAGCACUUUCAGCGAGGAGGAAAGGUUGAUGCCUAAUACGUAUCAACUGUGACGUUACUCGCAGAAGAAGCACCGGCUAACCCCGUGCCAGCAGCCGCGGUAAUAC